RNAcentral lists this ribosomal RNA (509 nucleotides) under uncultured bacterium. RNAcentral's name for it is "bacterial SSU rRNA". It matches the Rfam family "Bacterial small subunit ribosomal RNA", at positions 8 to 507 of the family's 1533-position model. The record is from RNAcentral.
AGAGUUUGAUCAUGGCUCAGGGUGAACGCUGGCGGCAGGCCUAAUACAUGCAAGUCGAACGGCAGCACAGCAGAGCUUGCUCUGUGGGUGGCGAGUGGCGGACGGGUGAGGAAUACGUGGGAAUCUGCCCAGUCGUGGGGGAUAACGUAGGGAAACUUACGCUAAUACCGCAUGCGCCCUUCGGGGGAAAGCCGGGGACCUUCGGGCCUGGCGCGAUUGGAUGAGCCCACGUCGGAUUAGCUAGUUGGCGGGUAAAGGCCCACCAAGGCGACGAUCCGUAGCUGGUCUGAGAGGAUGAUCAGCCACACUGGAACUGAGACACGGUCCAGACUCCUACGGGAGGCAGCAGUAGGGAAUAUUGGACAAUGGGCGCAAGCCUGAUCCAGCCAUGCCGCGUGAGUGAAGAAGGCCCUCGGGUUGUAAAGCUCUUUUGUCCGGAAAGAAAAGCGCCGGGUUAAUACCCUGGUGUCCUGACGGUACCGGAAGAAUAAGCACCGGCUAACUUCGUG